UGCGUAGGCGGGCUAAUAAGUCAGUGGUGAAAUCUCUCGGCUCAACCGGGAAACUGCCAUUGAUACUGUUAGUCUUGAGUUCGGUUGAGGUAGGCGGAAUGUGUAAUGUAGCGGUGAAAUGCUUAGAUAUUACACAGAACACCAAUUGCGUAGGCAGCUUACUAGGCCGAAACUGACGCUGAGGCACGAAAGCGUGGGGAGCGAACAGGAUUAGAUACCCUGGUAGUC
This 228-nucleotide ribosomal RNA is filed under the name uncultured bacterium. RNAcentral describes it as "partial 16S ribosomal RNA". It matches the Rfam family "Bacterial small subunit ribosomal RNA", at positions 568 to 795 of the family's 1533-position model. The record is from RNAcentral.